AGAAUGUUAUCACGGGAGACACACGGCGGGUGCUAACGUCCGUCGUGAAGAGGGAAACAACCCAGACCGCCAGCUAAGGUCCCAAAGUCAUGGUUAAGUGGGAAACGAUGUGGGAAGGCCCAGACAGCCAGGAUGUUGGCUUAGAAGCAGCCAUCAUUUAAAGAAAGCGUAAUAGCUCACUGGUCGAGUCGGCCUGCGCGGAAGAUGUAACGGGGCUAAACCAUGCACCGAAGCUGCGGCAGCGACGCUGAUGCGUUGUUGGGUAGGGGAGCGUUCUGUAAGCCUGCGAAGGUGUGCUGUGAGGCAUGCUGGAGGUAUCAGAAGUGCGAAUGCUGACAUAAGUAACGAUAAAGCGGGUGAAAAGCCCGCUCGCCGGAAGACCAAGGGUUCCUGUCCAACGUUAAUCGGGGCAGGGUGAGUCGACCCCUAAGGCGAGGCCGAAAGGCGUAGUCGAUGGGAAACAGGUUAAUAUUCCUGUACUUGGUGUUACUGCGAAGGGGGGACGGAGAAGGCUAUGUUGGCCGGGCGACGGUUGUCCCGGUUUAAGCGUGUAGGCUGGUUUUCCAGGCAAAUCCGGAAAAUCAAGGCUGAGGCGUGAUGACGAGGCACUACGGUGCUGAAGCAACAAAUGCCCUGCUUCCAGGAAAAGCCUCUAAGCAUCAGGUAACAUCAAAUCGUACCCCAAACCGACACAGGUGGUCAGGUAGAGAAUACCAAGGCGCUUGAGAGAACUCGGGUGAAGGAACUAGGCAAAAUGGUGCCGUAACUUCGGGAGAAGGCACGCUGAUAUGUAGGUGAAGUCCCUCGCGGAUGGAGCUGAAAUCAGUCGAAGAUACCAGCUGGCUGCAACUGUUUAUUAAAAACACAGCACUGUGCAAACACGAAAGUGGACGUAUACGGUGUGACGCCUGCCCGGUGC
This 919-nucleotide ribosomal RNA is filed under the name Escherichia coli. RNAcentral describes it as "partial 23S ribosomal RNA". It matches the Rfam family "Bacterial large subunit ribosomal RNA", at positions 966 to 1869 of the family's 2925-position model. The record is from RNAcentral. Lineage: Bacteria; Pseudomonadati; Pseudomonadota; Gammaproteobacteria; Enterobacterales; Enterobacteriaceae.